This 468-nucleotide ribosomal RNA is filed under the name uncultured bacterium. Its description in RNAcentral is "partial 16S ribosomal RNA". It matches the Rfam family "Bacterial small subunit ribosomal RNA", at positions 28 to 507 of the family's 1533-position model. The record is from RNAcentral.
GACGAACGCUGGCGGCGUGCUUAACACAUGCAAGUCGAACGGAAAGGCCCUGCUUUUGUGGGGUGCUCGAGUGGCGAACGGGUGAGUAACACGUGAGUAACCUGCCCUUGACUUUGGGAUAACUUCAGGAAACUGGGGCUAAUACCGGAUAGGAGCCCCUGCUGCAUGGUGGGGGUUGGAAAGUUUCGGCGGUUGGGGAUGGACUCGCGGCUUAUCAGCUUGUUGGUGGGGUAGUGGUUUACCAAGGGUUUGACGGGUAGGCGGCCUGGGAGGGUGACCGGGGACCAUGGGACUACGGGAGGGAGCAGACUCCUACGGGAGGCAGCAGUGGGGAAUAUUGCACAAUGGGCGGAAGCCUGAUGCAGCGGCGCCGCGUGCGGGAUGACGGCCUUCGGGUUGUAAACCGCUUUCGCCUGUGACGAAGCGUGAGUGACGGUAAUGGGUAAAGAAGCACCGGCUAACUACGUG